GUUAAGUUCAAAUGUCACAUCUCGCAGUUGAAACGCGCGAUAAGGUGACACUGAGUGCCAGCAUCUUAAGAGGGGGGUCCGCAUGUUUAAAAAGCAUGUGUUAGCCAGGGCUGGGCAAGACCGGUCCCAGCCGCCGCGAAAGCCCGCCAGCCCGAGUGUGUCCGUAGGGUCUAAAGGGCCUUAGCCGUUUUGACCAGCUUUUUGGAAAUCUGACACCUUACUUGUAAGGUUUCCAAAGAAUACUGUCAGAUUUGGAACGGGGAAAGGAAAGAGGUAUACCAGGGUUGGGGGUAAAUCUUUUUAUUCCCUUUGGGGCCCCCGGUGGGGAGGGGCUUUUACCAAAAGGGGCCCAAGGGGGGGAACAAAAGUUGGGGCCCCAACCGGAAUAAAAAACCCGGGAGGCCCAAGCGGAAACAUUGUCCCUUAGGGGUCGGAAAGGGGGGACCGUUUCUUGUGCCCGAGGGAAGCCCGGAAAGCGGCCCCCUGGGAAGGUCGGGCCCAAGGUUGAACCUAAAAGAAUUUGGGGGGGAAAAGGGGAAUUCUUUUAACCUUCCGGAAUAGGCCCUUUUGUGGAGGGUAAUUUCUGAGUUUGCGGAAUCAUGGGCUAACUGUUUUCCCGGAAAACAAAAAAGUAUUUUUGGGGGGGAAAUUUAAUUUCCCCCCAUAGGGAGGCGAAUAAAUUUGGGGGGCGGUUUUACAAA
This 701-nucleotide ribosomal RNA is filed under the name uncultured archaeon. RNAcentral describes it as "partial 16S ribosomal RNA". It matches the Rfam family "Archaeal small subunit ribosomal RNA", at positions 334 to 1312 of the family's 1478-position model. The record is from RNAcentral.